AGUGAACGCUGGCGGUAGGCCUAACACAUGCAAGUCGAACGGCAGCACAGUAAGAGCUUGCUCUUACGGGUGGCGAGUGGCGGACGGGUGAGGAAUACAUCGGAAUCUACUUUUUCGUGGGGGAUAACGUAGGGAAACUUACGCUAAUACCGCAUACGACCUACGGGUGAAAGCAGGGGAUCUUCGGACCUUGCGCGAUUGAAUGAGCCGAUGUCGGAUUAGCUAGUUGGCGGGGUAAAGGCCCACCAAGGCGACGAUCCGUAGCUGGUCUGAGAGGAUGAUCAGCCACACUGGAACUGAGACACGGUCCAGAGUCCUACGGGAGGCAGCAGUGGGGAAUAUUGGACAAUGGGGGCAAGCCUGAUCCAGCCAUACCGCGUGGGUGAAGAAGGCCUUCGGGUUGUAAAGCCCUUUUGUUGGGAAAGAAAAGCAGCAGGUUAAUACCCCGCUGUUCUGACGGUACCCAAAGAAUAAGCACCGGCUAACUUCGUG
RNAcentral lists this ribosomal RNA (492 nucleotides) under uncultured bacterium. RNAcentral describes it as "partial 16S ribosomal RNA". It matches the Rfam family "Bacterial small subunit ribosomal RNA", at positions 29 to 507 of the family's 1533-position model. The record is from RNAcentral.